RNAcentral lists this long non-coding RNA (594 nucleotides) under Anas platyrhynchos platyrhynchos (common mallard). RNAcentral's name for it is "lncRNA (ENSAPLG00000021620.1)". Lineage: Eukaryota; Metazoa; Chordata; Aves; Anseriformes; Anatidae. The record is from RNAcentral.
AUGACUUUAAUUUACAUAUUUCCUAAGCCACCCUAUCAAUGUUUUCUGUUCCUUAUUUGGUUAUUCAUCACUAAAGAAAUUUUAAACUCUAUUUCUGUUUUGCAAAUGCUGAGAACAACACGCCAACUGAGAGCAAAGGGUUGUAUUCCUAGAAGAAGUAUGCUAAAUUCAGAGAGAUGGAAUUUUGCACUCAUCUGCACACUGCUGCCAACAUGCCAGAGCUAUCUGAGGGAGGAAUUACCUCCAGGGAUGAGAGUGGAACUGCUCUUACAGCUCCUGGGGAAAGGUUACAUCCUUUCACCUGGCUUCUUCUGAAAACCGGGCAUUUGGAAACCCCUUGAGUAUAUUUGCUGCAGCCUUUUUUUGAUUCUUCCACAGCAACUGUGCUUGUCAGGCCAAGGAAACUCAAUACAAAGGGAACCACUGAUCAGCAGGUAUCAGAACUGUCUUGGCAGUUGGAAAGAAAAUUCUGCAGGUCAGUGCAUUCUAACAUUUUACAGAUGAAAAGUGCAAUGCACGUUGUCCUAGUCUCCCCGUAACUAGCAUAGUAAAAGAAAGAAUAAAGAUUCUGAAGAGCUUGUGUGCUAUUGUAGA